UCGGUUCCGGUUCACGUCCGUACAUCCCCAGGUCAGGGGCGGACGACCCGGCGACC
The sequence is a regulatory RNA element, 56 nucleotides long. It matches the Rfam family "L31-Actinobacteria ribosomal protein leader". The record is from Rfam.